RNAcentral lists this ribosomal RNA (1483 nucleotides) under metagenome. Its description in RNAcentral is "bacterial SSU rRNA". It matches the Rfam family "Bacterial small subunit ribosomal RNA". The record is from RNAcentral.
AGAGUUUGAUCCUGGCUCAGGAUGAACGCUAGCUACAGGCUUAACACAUGCAAGUCGAGGGGCAGCAUUUUAGUUUGCUUGCAAACUGAAGAUGGCGACCGGCGCACGGGUGAGUAACACGUAUCCAACCUGCCGAUAACUCCGGGAUAGCCUUUCGAAAGAAAGAUUAAUACCGGAUAGUAUACGAAUAUCGCAUGAUAUUUUUAUUAAAGAAUUUCGGUUAUCGAUGGGGAUGCGUUCCAUUAGUUUGUUGGCGGGGUAACGGCCCACCAAGACUACGAUGGAUAGGGGUUCUGAGAGGAAGGUCCCCCACAUUGGAACUGAGACACGGUCCAAACUCCUACGGGAGGCAGCAGUGAGGAAUAUUGGUCAAUAGGCGCGAGCCUGAACCAGCCAAGUAGCGUGAAGGAUGAAGGCUCUAUGAGUCGUAAACUUCUUUUAUAUGGGAAUAAAGUUUUCCACGUGUGGAAUUUUGUAUGUACCAUAUGAAUAAGGAUCGGCUAACUCCGUGCCAGCAGCCGCGGUAAUACGGAGGAUCCGAGCGUUAUCCGGAUUUAUUGGGUUUAAAGGGAGCGUAGGUGGAUUGUUAAGUCAGUUGUGAAAGUUUGCGGCUCAACCGUAAAAUUGCAGUUGAAACUGGCAGUCUUGAGUACAGUAGAGGUGGGCGGAAUUCGUGGUGUAGCGGUGAAAUGCUUAGAUAUCACGAAGAACUCCGAUUGCGAAGGCAGCUCACUAGACUGUCACUGACACUGAUGCUCGAAAGUGUGGGCAUCAAACAGGAUUAGAUACCCUGGUAGUCCACACAGUAAACGAUGAAUACUCGCUGUUUGCGAUAUACAGUAAGCGGCCAAGCGAAAGCAUUAAGUAUUCCACCUGGGGAGUACGCCGGCAACGGUGAAACUCAAAGGAAUUGACGGGGGCCCGCACAAGCGGAGGAACAUGUGGUUUAAUUCGAUGAUACGCGAGGAACCUUACCCGGGCUUAAAUUGCAACAGAAUAUAUUGGAAACAGUAUAGCCGUAAGGCUGUUGUGAAGGUGCUGCAUGGUUGUCGUCAGCUCGUGCCGUGAGGUGUCGGCUUAAGUGCCAUAACGAGCGCAACCCUUAUCUUUAGUUACUAACAGGUUAUGCUGAGGACUCUAGAGAGACUGCCGUCGUAAGAUGUGAGGAAGGUGGGGAUGACGUCAAAUCAGCACGGCCCUUACGUCCGGGGCUACACACGUGUUACAAUGGGGGGUACAGAAGGCGGCUACCUGGUGACAGGAUGCUAAUCCCAAAAACCUCUCUCAGUUCGGAUCGAAGUCUGCAACCCGACUUCGUGAAGCUGGAUUCGCUAGUAAUCGCGCAUCAGCCAUGGCGCGGUGAAUACGUUCCCGGGCCUUGUACACACCGCCCGUCAAGCCAUGAAAGCCGGGGGUACCUGAAGUACGUAACCGCAAGGAGCGUCCUAGGGUAAAACUGGUAAUUGGGGCUAAGUCGUAACAA